This 596-nucleotide unclassified non-coding RNA is filed under the name Hevea brasiliensis (rubber tree). Lineage: Eukaryota; Viridiplantae; Streptophyta; Magnoliopsida; Malpighiales; Euphorbiaceae. The record is from RNAcentral.
GAGAGAGAGAGAGAAAGAGAGAACAAAAAGGAGGACAAAAGCAAAUCAGCAAAACAACAUCAAAACAGCAGCAGCAUGCAUUUCUCUGGAUCAAUAAAUAAAUUGUAUUUUGAUUCUUAAAAGUUGUUGAAUGGAAUUGUACAAGUCUAUCAGAUACCAUUUCAAAGACACUUUCCUGUGAGCAUUACCCCAACACAAAGGCUUGCAUAACAAGUUUUAGUUGAAACAAGUAUUAAUCAAGGGUUGCCACUAUUUACGUGGUAAAGUGGGGCAUGGGAAUGAAAACUCCCUAAAUAAAAUUGGAAGGUUAAUAGGGUUAGCCCCUUUCUUUAGCACAACCAUUGGAUUGACGAAAAACACAAGAACUCAGGGUUAAUAAUCAUACCAAAUGAGAUUUUUGGAACAAGGUAAAAAUCCAGGUAACUACUUUGCCAACAAUACUAAAUUUUCACCAUCACAGAAAGCUCACAAAAUCCUAAUUAAUAAGAUAACUACUCUGUCAUACAGUACUAUCUGUUUUUUCAAAGCUAGCAACCAUGAAUUUAAACAAAUGAUAAGAUAUUAAAGACAAACCUUAUUUCGGUCACGCCAACCAA